RNAcentral lists this ribosomal RNA (739 nucleotides) under uncultured bacterium. RNAcentral describes it as "bacterial SSU rRNA". It matches the Rfam family "Bacterial small subunit ribosomal RNA", at positions 49 to 791 of the family's 1533-position model. The record is from RNAcentral.
CUACCAUGCAGUCGAGCGGAGAACUUAUUAUGAAAUCUUCGGAUAGAUUAAUAAACUUCUUAGCGGCGGAUGGGUGAGUAACGCGUGAGGAACCUGCCUAGUACAAGGGGAUAGCCUCGGGAAACCGGGAUUAAUACCCUAUGAUACUUAAGGGCCACAUGGCUUUUAAGUCAAAGAUUUAUCGGUAUUAGAUGGACUCGCGUCCCAUUAGCUAGUUGGUGAGAUAACGGCUCACCAAGGCAACGAUGGGUAGCCGGCUUGAGAGAGUGAACGGCCACACUGGAACUGAGACACGGUCCAGACUCCUACGGGAGGCAGCAGUGGGGAAUCUUGCACAAUGGAGGGAACUCUGAUGCAGCGACGUCGCGUGAACGAUGAAGGCUUUCGAGUCGUAAAGUUCUGUCCUAUGGGACGAUAAUGACGGUACCAUAGGAGGAAGCCCCGGCUAACUACGUGCCAGCAGCCGCGGUAAUACGUAGGGGGCGAACGUUGUCCGGAUUUAUUGGGCGUAAAGGGUACGCAGGCGGCCAAAUAAGUCAGAUGUGAAAUCCUAGGGCUUAACCCUAGUUAGCAUUUGAAACUGUAUGGCUUGAGUUAAGGAGAGGAAAGUGGAAUUCCUGGUGUAGCGGUGAAAUGCGUAGAUAUCAGGAGGAAUACCAGUGGCGAAGGCGACUUUCUGGACUUAUACUGACGCUGAGGUACGAAAGCGUGGGGAGCAAACAGGAUUAGAUACCCUGGU